GGGGGUGACUGGCUUCGACAGGGGAAGUUGGUCACAGACUGCAAGCCGAGGCGCUCUACCCUCGUUAAUCCAGAGCAAAACGAUAAGUGCCAACAACAGCACUGCUCGUCUCGCUAUGGCUGCGUAAAGUAGCCUAGCAGACAAAGGUUACCCGAGGGUAACCCGUCUGCCCCGACCGUGUCCUGUUCGGGCGGCAAGCAGGCGUCACAAACAACAGGAUGCUCGGUGACGGUGCUGGUACGUCGCCGCUAAGACUCACCAGCUAGCGCGUGGCCCGCCUUUGGCCGGUGUAGGUUCCCACAGCGCGAAACACAAACACCGACUAUGCUUGUAGACGUUUGUGGUCGAAUCUUCUGGACGCGGGUUCGACUCCCGCCACCUCCACCA
Molecule: transfer-messenger RNA, 387 nt
Filed under: Chloroflexota bacterium
Lineage: Bacteria; Bacillati; Chloroflexota
Description: Chloroflexi bacterium (anaerobic digester metagenome) transfer-messenger RNA
Rfam family: transfer-messenger RNA
About the family: Bacterial tmRNA, also known as 10Sa RNA or SsrA, is named for its dual tRNA and mRNA-like properties. Its role is to liberate the mRNA from a stalled ribosome. To accomplish this part of the tmRNA is used as a reading frame that ends in a translation stop signal.
Source: RNAcentral